CUUCCGUAGGGUGAACCUGCGGAGGGAUCAUUACCGAGUUUACAACUCCCAAACCCCAAUGUGAACGUUACCAAUCUGUUGCCUCGGCGGGAUUCUCUUGCCCCGGGCGCGUCGCAGCCCCGGAUCCCAUGGCGCCCGCCGGAGGACCAACUCCAAACUCUUUUCUCUCUCCGUCGCGGCUCCCGUCGCGGCUCUGUUUUAUUUUUGCUCUGAGCCUUUCUCGGCGACCCUAGCGGGCGUCUCGAAAAUGAAUCAAAACUUUCAACAACGGAUCUCUUGGUUCUGGCAUCGAUGAAGAACGCAGCGAAAUGCGAUAAGUAAUGUGAAUUGCAGAAUUCAGUGAAUCAUCGAAUCUUUGAACGCACAUUGCGCCCGCCAGUAUUCUGGCGGGCAUGCCUGUCCGAGCGUCAUUUCAACCCUCGAACCCCUCCGGGGGGUCGGCGUUGGGGAUCGGCCCCUCACCGGGCCGCCCCCGAAAUACAGUGGCGGUCUCGCCGCAGCCUCUCAUGCGCAGUAGUUUGCACACUCGCACCGGGAGCGCGGCGCGGCCACAGCCGUAAAACACCCCAAAUUUUCUGAAAUGUGACCUCGGAUCAGGUAGGAAUACCCGCUGAACUUAAGCAUAUCAAUAAGCCGGAGGAA
This 642-nucleotide small RNA is filed under the name Trichoderma orientale. RNAcentral's name for it is "eukaryotic LSU rRNA". The stretch from base 257 to 410 matches the Rfam family "5.8S ribosomal RNA". The record is from RNAcentral. Lineage: Eukaryota; Fungi; Ascomycota; Sordariomycetes; Hypocreales; Hypocreaceae.